GUGAGCAACCUGCCUUUCAGUGGGGGACAACAUUUGGAAACGAAUGCUAAUACCGCAUAAGACCACAGUGUCGCAUGGCACAGGGGUCAAAGGAUUUAUCCGCUGAAAGAUGGGCUCGCGUCCGAUUAGCUAGAUGGUGAGGUAACGGCCCACCAUGGCGACGAUCAGUAGCCGGACUGAGAGGUUGAACGGCCACAUUGGGACUGAGACACGGCCCAGACUCCUACGGGAGGCAGCAUG
RNAcentral lists this ribosomal RNA (240 nucleotides) under uncultured bacterium. Its description in RNAcentral is "partial 16S ribosomal RNA". It matches the Rfam family "Bacterial small subunit ribosomal RNA", at positions 117 to 353 of the family's 1533-position model. The record is from RNAcentral.